GACGAACGCUGGCGGCGUGCUUAACACAUGCAAGUCGAACGGUAAGGCCCUUCGGGGUACACGAGUGGCGAACGGGUGAGUAACACGUGGGUGAUCUGCCCUGCACUUCGGGAUAAGCCUGGGAAACUGGGUCUAAUACCGGAUAGGACUCCUGGCUUCAUGGUUGGGGGUGGAAAGCUUUUGCGGUGUGGGAUGGGCCCGCGGCCUAUCAGCUUGUUGGUGGGGUAAAGGCCUACCAAGGCGACGACGGGUAGCCGGCCUGAGAGGGUGACCGGCCACACUGGGACUGAGAUACGGCCCAGACUCCUACGGGAGGCAGCAGUGGGGAUUAUUGCACAAUGGGCGCAAGCCUGAUGCAGCGACGCCGCGUGAGGGAUGACGGCCUUCGGGUUGUAAACCUCUUUCAGCACCGACGAAGCGCAAGUGACGGUAGGUGCAGAAGAAGGACCGGCCAACUACGUGCCAGCCGCCGCCGUAA
RNAcentral lists this ribosomal RNA (478 nucleotides) under uncultured bacterium. RNAcentral's name for it is "partial 16S ribosomal RNA". It matches the Rfam family "Bacterial small subunit ribosomal RNA", at positions 28 to 523 of the family's 1533-position model. The record is from RNAcentral.